Molecule: long non-coding RNA, 3470 nt
Filed under: Suricata suricatta (meerkat)
Lineage: Eukaryota; Metazoa; Chordata; Mammalia; Carnivora; Herpestidae
Description: lncRNA (ENSSSUG00005006483.1)
Source: RNAcentral
CCCAGGUGCCCUGGUUACUUUAAUAUUUUAAACCAUUCCUGCCCCAGCAAGAAUUAUUGGCAAUAAACCGAGAUACAAUUUUCUUUAUUAUCAUUAAGUCCCUCCACACACAUUACAUACAUACAUAUACAUCCAAACAGUUUCGAAUAUUCCAUUGGAUCAAAAUCCUAAAAACUUCUAGAUUAACAGCAGACCUAAAAAGAAGUUAGAAGAACGUGCAGAAAUUGGUACGUCCAUGAUGCCUGAAGAGGGAACUUCAAAACAGAAGUAGGAGACUUUUCAUCAUCCAUUCUUUUGUAUCUUUUGAAUUUUUUGCCACAUGCAUUUAUUACCUCUUCAGUUUAAACAUUUUUUUUUUAAGCAAGAGAAGAGUUUUCCUUUUUCUUUCUUCCCCCACAGGCCUCUCUGCAGCCUGGGCGUAGAGGAGACCAUGACUGGCCGGCAUCACAUCCGGAAGCCACCCCUCAGCCCAGGCCCUGCCCCAGACCAGGUCCCAGCCCUCCAGCCUGGCUGGGGGAGAGCCCUGCUCCGGUUCCCCUGCACGUGGAGGGGUUCCGCAGGGUCAGCAGAGCCCACGUGAGGGCAAGCUGUCCCCCAGCAGGCCAUGGGAAGGUGUGGGCAAGGGGACAAUUGAGAAGCCAUGGAAGAGUCAGACAAGGAGCAGCAGAUGGAGACGUGCACUUGACAGAGUGGACACAAGAGAUGAAAAGGUACAGAGUAUGAGAAAACGGCUUCAGGAAGGAAAAAGCAGGGAGUGAAAACCAGUAAAAGUGUAACGAAUACUAAAACCAGACAGGCCCGAAAAGAAGCCAUCAGGAGAGCUUCGAGAAGAGGCAGGUCAGAGAGGAGGAGCAGGAGGGCUGGGAGGGGGCAGUGUGUGAGGGGCUGGGGGCAGGAGGAACGGUGCGACAGAAAUCUCUUGGGAAGGGUCGUUCACCUCCCAAGCAGUUGGGCUUAUUGGCUGCGGCCAGCAGAAUCUAUUUAAAACACAGCAGGCAUUUUGCCUUGGUCUGUUUCCCUCUCCAGGGAAGGCUGGAGCCAAAGGCUUCGGGAACCAUUCCAGCAUUAGGACCCUGCACAAACACCAGAGCUGAGAGCAUAAGAUCCUUGCCCCCUCUGGGGAUCAGUCCCCUCUCCCCUGCCACAUGCUGCCAGGCCACUAAACGCACAGUACAUUGAUCUGUGCCCCAAAGGCUGCUUGUGUUCUCGCUUCCACUGGGAAAGUCUCAGUGACUUCCUUCUUUUUGUCUUCAAGCUUGUCAGAAAGCAGAUGCUACUCAAAUGUGACAGCUGCUCUAAAGGGCUGCUCACAGCGAGCUCCUUGACCAGUAGGAACAUGCGCAAUCAUGACUGGAGAGGCCUUGGGUGAUGGGAUAGCAGCAAGACAAAGAGGAGAGCACCGAAGGACAUCACAGGUGAAAUGGCCCCAGGGAAACCACAUGGGACCUGAACUGGAAAACAGCAGCCUCACGCCUUUCCCUGGACUGUGUAUCUUUGGGAAGCUCUAAUCUGGGGAAGCCCUGACUCCUCAUCCACCUGCCACAGAGGAGUGCAAAGUAAGGCCAGGAGCUAAAACUGGCUGAGAGAGCCGUCCGUCCAUCAGGCUUUGGUUUCUCUCCAUUUGAGAGGGUUGGGAAUGAGAAGUCUUCCUUCCCUGGCUUCUGAGCACAUAAAUUGUGUAAAAUACUGUUCCAGGCUGAAUAUAAGUUCUCUGCUCUGCAUGACAUUUAUAUUCUUGAAAAUUUUAGUGUACAAAUCAAAUCAAAUUUUGUCUGCCAGAGAAGCUGGCUUUUCAAAAUGAAUCUGAGGUUGGGGUGCCUGGGUGGCUCAGUCGGUUAGGCCUCCGACUUCGGCUCAGGUCAGAUCUCACGUUUGUGGGUUCGAGCCCCGUGUCAGGCUCUGUGCUGACAGCUAGCUCAGAGCCUGGAGCCUGCUUCUGGUUCUGUGUCUCCUUCUCUCUCUGCCCCUCCCCCUCUCAUGCUCUGUCUAUCAAAACUAAAUAAAACAUUAAAAAAUAAAUAAAUAAAUAAAUAAAUCUGAGGUCAACCCUAUAUUUAAAGAGAAGAAUGACCUGUGAAGGUGAAUAAUUAUCCCAGUUCACGUGUGUAACCUUGGAAUAGUGGAUGUCUGAUUUGGGUGGCUGGGGUGGGGUGAGGACUGUCUAGAGAUCCACCUAUGGUCUGUUUAUAGGUUGCAAUUAAACAUUACUUUAAAACAAACAAAAAACAUGCAGAUCACUGCUAAAGAAAUACAGAUUUUUUUAAAAAGUUGAUUAUGGAAAAUUCAAAUACACAUUUUAAAAGAAGCAAGCCUAAUUUAAAAAAAAAAAAAAAGCCCAGAGGGGCACCUGGAUGGCUCAGUUGGUUGGGUGUCUGUCUUUGGCUUAGGUCAUGAUCUCACGGUUCAUGGGUUUGAGCCCUGCAUCAGGCCCUGUGCUGACAGCUAGCUCAGAGCCUGGAGCCUGCUUCAGAUUCUAUGUCUCCCUCUCUCUCUGACCCUCCCCUGCUCAUAUAGUCUCUCUCUGUCUCUCAGAAAUAAAUAAAAAAUAAAAAAACCCAGCUCCAACAAUCAUCACUCAUGGCCAAUCCUGUGAGAAACUUGGACUUCUGGGCCAGNNNNNNNNNNNNNNNNNNNNNNNNNNNNNNNNNNNNNNNNNNNNNNNNNNNNNNNNNNNNNNNNNNNNNNNNNNNNNNNNNNNNNNNNNNNNNNNNNNNNAUGUGACAACGGAGCAAAGUGCCCAGACUCAGAUGCCCAAUCUUUAUCCCAUUUUGACCUGGAUUUUCUGCCUUACAGUAAUUUGCUAAGGUAGGUGAGUGCACAACCUUCCAAUCCCAGGCUGUUCUACAUGACAUAAGAAACCCCAGUCCUGAGAGUUGGGUAACUGGACUUGGUGGGGGUGGGGGCAGGAGUCGCAGUCCCGGAGCCUGAGGGGCUGGCACCGGCGCUAAGCCCAAAGCCCUGAGUGGGAGCCUGGCCAAGGCUCGCACACCACACCCCACCUGCGCGCCAGCAUCCCGAUCUACAUGGAGGUGGGCCCCACCAUGGUGGGCGACGAGCACUCAGAUCCAGAGCCGCUGUGGUAUCUGGGGGCCUCAGUUUCUAGAAAGCAUCUUGGGAAACAAUUUUUGUGAGUACUUCAUCAGUGACCCUCCUCACACAGUCCUGGACAAGCUGGAAUGCAAAGGUUUCCGUGUGCUGAGUGUGACAGAGGGGGCCAGACACUGGUGUGGUGUCUACACACGGGGUGACUCACACUGAGGAGUGGAUGGGGCACUCCUUUUUUGAGUGGUUUCCAAUCCUGAGUCCCCCAUUCACUCACUGUCUGGCCCCUCGUACCAAAUCAUCACUUUGCUCAGCUGGGCACCACUGAGCAGUGAACGGCCUUCUCUGAAACUUCCUAUAGCCAGUGGGAGAAGGCAGGGCCCUUGUCCUGGUGCUUCCACAGGUGCCCCUCCAGCUUCAGGCCUGGC